UUGUAAAGGAUGAUCCGCCUAUUAAUUUACUUUUAUUAUGUUGGUGUAUAUCUGGUUUAAUAUUAUUGUUUAAUAACUGAAUUUGUGUAUAUUUAUUUAAGCCAAGUCUAUGUGCUGCUUGUAAAAGAUUUCAUGCGUUACAUUUAUAUUUAUAAAUUAUGAGAAUUUAAUUUUUAAUUAGGACUUAAAAGUAAUAUAGAAUGAUUUUGUCUAUGUGAAAAAGGUUUAGCUCAG
Molecule: ribosomal RNA, 234 nt
Filed under: Mesocestoides litteratus
Lineage: Eukaryota; Metazoa; Platyhelminthes; Cestoda; Cyclophyllidea; Mesocestoididae
Description: partial small subunit ribosomal RNA
Source: RNAcentral